GUAGAGUAAAUAUUGCGCGUAAAGUGUCUCAAGGAUGGGAAGUUGCCUGAGAACGAAGGAAAUCCAUGUUUCAGGGAUAAUACCUGGUUAGUUUCCACGAUGUAAUGUUGCGUCCGCUA
This 119-nucleotide non-coding RNA is filed under the name chicken gut metagenome. Its description in RNAcentral is "THF riboswitch". It matches the Rfam family "THF (Tetrahydrofolate) riboswitch aptamer". From Rfam's summary of the family: THF riboswitch presents a pseudoknot that joins P1-P2 and the loop of P3 and two THF binding. The record is from RNAcentral.